This 294-nucleotide unclassified non-coding RNA is filed under the name uncultured Volucrispora. Its description in RNAcentral is "sequence contains ITS1". The stretch from base 1 to 105 matches the Rfam family "5.8S ribosomal RNA", at positions 50 to 154 of the family's 154-position model. Lineage: Eukaryota; Fungi; Ascomycota. The record is from RNAcentral.
GAAAUGCGAUAAGUAAUGUGAAUUGCAGAAUUCAGUGAAUCAUCGAAUCUUUGAACGCACAUUGCGCCUUCUGGUAUUCCGGGGGGCAUGCCUGUUCGAGCGUCAUUAUAACCACUCAAGCUCUCGCUUGGUAUUGGGGUUCGCGGUUUCGCGGCCCCUAAAAUCAGUGGCGGUGCCUGUCGGCUCUACGCGUAGUAAUACUUCUCGCGAUUGAGUUCGAUAGGUCUACUUGCCAGUAACCCCCAAUUUUUACAGGUUGACCUCGGAUCAGGUAGGGAUACCCGCUGAACUUAA